Hyla sarda is the source of this 1476-nucleotide long non-coding RNA. RefSeq lists it as uncharacterized. The record is from RefSeq and is a predicted model, not a curated record. The transcript is spliced from 4 exons. NCBI's taxonomy places the organism in Eukaryota, Metazoa, Chordata, Amphibia, Anura, Hylidae.
CAUAGAGAAAACUUGCCUGGAGGAUACAUAGUACCUGAUGUUGCCACACUUGUCAGGAGACUGCAUGGACAAUUAAACCGGAGGAUCACAGAGCUCACUGAUGCUUGCCCUGAAUUGAUGCUUGCCACCAUGUGUGACCCCCGAAUUAAGGGCAAAAUGGCACUCCAAGCCAAUUCCCUAACAGGCUGGAGAGAGAAAUUAAUCAACAGGGUGUGUGACAGGCAAAGACACUUGGUUGUGCCGUCAGAGAGGGAUGAUGAGGAUGAUGAAGAAGAAGAGGAGGAUGAGCCUGCUAUGUCAUCAUCAUCAUCCAUCACAAACACUGCUGGACAUUCAUCAAGAGCUGCUGACUUUUGGGCAGAAACUUUGCAAACCUUGGUCGGACACACCAGACAACCCUCAAGGAUACCCAGAGAUAAGGUUGCAGAGACUGUAAAAAGUUAUUUGUCUGAACCCCAUCUGGCACCUACAGCGGAUAGUCUCAAGUACUGGGAUGAAAGGAGGGCAAUUUGGCCUGCUCUCUCCAUGGUGGCCCAGGAGCUCCUAUCCUGCCCCCCAACCUCUGUGCAAAGUGAACGGGUAUUUUCAGUCACUGGCAAUAUUCUCUGCCCACAGCGUUCACAGCUGGCCCCUCAGCUCAUGGAGCAGAUGACUUUUCUUAAAGUAAACAUGCCCAAGCUGGGAUACCCUGCCCUAAGCUUUGACACCAAUUAGUUAUGAGUUCUACAGUUCAAGUUAAAAGUUGAAGUUCUUGGUUACAAGUUGGAAUGUUGGAUCCCGUUGUGUUAUCAGUUGUUUGAAAAAGUUAAGAAAGUGAACAGCACCAUCAAACAGGAUUUAGUGGACAUUUAGUGGACAUUUUUGUGGAUACAACAAGGACGUCCAUUUAUGUGGUAAAGGAGAUCAGCAAAUCAGUGGAAGGAUUUGGCACCAUUUUGUAUGAGGUUACAAUAUACAAGUCAACAUGAAACUUUGGUAAUAGAAUACAGAGGUAAUACAAUAAACCUAAACAUUGCCAACAUUUCUAACAUAACAAAACUGUCAACCAGCCUAAAAAUAAUGAUUCUUUAAUCUUUUAGGUUUGUGAAGGUGCCCCAUUGUUGCUGCUGCUGGUGUCAGCCAAUGGAGGUGAUUGGCUGAUUCUUGAUAUUGCCGUCAGGAGGUCCACCCUUAGCUGUGCUGUGGCCUGAAGGUGCUGCUGGCUGACCCGGGCCAACAUCACUUGGAUGUCGUCAGCCUGCCGUCGGUGAAGUUGGUGCAUGGUCCUAUUCAAGCGUCGCAUCUCCCGUGCAAGGUGCCUCGUCUCCCUGGACAACCUGUCCCUUUCUUGGAGUACCCUAAGAUCUCUCUGCCUCGGAUGUCUGAGCCUCUGGCAGGAGGUGCUUCUUCAACUCCAGCUCCCAGUUCUUGAAGUUGAUGUUCCUCCUCUGCUGCUGCUUUUUUAUUUUUUUGAGGACUGAUGCCCUGCAGUCAUAG